This 460-nucleotide ribosomal RNA is filed under the name uncultured bacterium. RNAcentral describes it as "partial 16S ribosomal RNA". It matches the Rfam family "Bacterial small subunit ribosomal RNA", at positions 338 to 795 of the family's 1533-position model. The record is from RNAcentral.
CCUACGGGGGGCAGCAGUGAGGAAUAUUGGUCAAUGGGCGAGAGCCUGAACCAGCCAAGUCGCGUGAAGGAUGACGGCCCUACGGGUUGUAAACUUCUUUUGUCAGGGAGCAAUUGGGUCCACGCGUGGGCUUAGCGAGAGUACCUGAAGAAAAAGCAUCGGCUAACUCCGUGCCAGCAGCCGAGGUAAUACGGAGGAUGCGAGCGUUAUCCGGAUUUAUUGGGUUUAAAGGGUGCGUAGGCGGAAUAUCAAGUCAGCGGUAAAAAUUCGGGGCUCAACCCCGUCGUGCCGUUGAAACUGAUGGUCUUGAGUGGGAGAGAAGUAUGCGGAAUGCGUGGUGUAGCGGUGAAAUGCAUAGAUAUCACGCAGAACUCCGAUUGCGAAGGCAGCAUACCGGCGCCCAACUGACGCUGAAGCACGAAAGCGUGGGUAUCGAACAGGAUUAGAUACCCUUGUAGUC